Molecule: unclassified non-coding RNA, 1487 nt
Filed under: uncultured fungus
Lineage: Eukaryota; Fungi
Description: sequence contains 18S rRNA gene, ITS1, 5.8S rRNA gene, ITS2, 28S rRNA gene
Rfam family: Eukaryotic large subunit ribosomal RNA (bases 485-1487)
Source: RNAcentral
GGAAGGAUCAUUAAACAUUGAGUUAUCUCAACCAUCAUAUUAGCACAUUGCGCUAAUAAGUAAUAGGUCCAUGCUUGUUUGGACUUGAAUAACACAACAAGCCGGGACAUUAUUAGUUUCGGUCGGUAGCGACAGCUAUCUGAUAGCAAUUUCAACCUUUACAGGUUAUUUACUUGUACGUUAUACCUUAAUAAUGAAAUUGCUUCGUCUUAGUGGUGGAUCACUUGGUUCCUGCAACGAUGAAGAACGCAGCAAAGCGCGAUAUGAAGUGCGAGUUGCACAGUUAGUGAAUCAUCGUAUUUUUGAACGCAUUAUGCACCAGUAAACUUGUUUGUUGGUAUGCUUCUUUGAGCAUCGAUAUGUUAAUAUUCGGCUUUGGUCGGAAUAUAAAUCUUUUCUGCUGUGUAUUUGGUAGAGAAUAUUUAGAUAUCUUUAUAAUUCAGCACAAAAGGCAACUUCUGCUGGUAGUUAUGUAUAUGUAAAACGAUCUCAAGUGAAGUAAGAACACCUGCCUAAUUUAAGCAUAUAAUUAAGCAGAGGAAAAGAAAUCAACCGAGAUUCCCCUAGUAACGGCGAGUGAAGCGGGAAAAGCCCAUCCUGAAAUGUUGAUCAAAAACAUGUUGUAGGGUGAGGAGCUGUUUUCAGAAGCAGCCUAGAUCAAAGUUUCUCUGAAAAGAAGCGACAUAGUGGGUGACAUCCCUUUUAACGAUCUAGGAGUGUAUCUACGAAGCAUGCUUCAAGAGUAGGUUUGUUUGAGAAUGCAAGCUGAAUUUGGGAGAUAAUCUUCUCCCAAGGCUAAAUACAUGCAGGAGUCCGAUAGCGAACAAGUACCGUGAGGGAAAGUUGAAAAGCACUCUGAAGAGAGAGUCAAUUAGAACGUGAAACCACUAAGGUUGAAGGGAUGACCUCCAGUCAUACAAUUUAUUGUAAAUAGUUACCCUUCAUUUAAACCUCUAUCUAAGCAUUACUUGCUUCGUGGGUUACCAGGAUGAGUUUAAUUCCUGAUAUGCCAAAAUGCAAAGGUAUGAGUUCAGUUCUGAUGUCUCAGCUUAUAGAGCAUUUGCGAGCUUUUAAUCUAGGGAUUAGACUCAGGGAUUACACAAGACGCAAGUGAAUUUAGGCUCAUUUGCAACAUUAUUGUUUCGUCUUCAAGAGCCCUGGUUAAAUGGUGGUCAUCCUCCCGUCUUGAAACACGGACCGGGGAGUUUUACCUUUAUGCAAGUCUAAGAGUGAAAAACUCGUUGGCGCAAUGAAAAUAAUAUAGGUGAUAAGCUUAUGGCUUCCUCAUCUCCCGGCCACUCAAUUGCGGAGCGGUUCGAGGCUGAGCAUAAAGGCAGAGACCCGAAAGAUGGUGAACUAUACUUGAGCAGAAUGAAGCCAGGGGAAACCCUGGUGGAAGUUCGUAGCGGUACUGACGUGCAAAUCGUUCGUCCGACUUGAGUAUAGGGGCGAAAGACUAAUCGAACCAUCUAGUAGCUGGUUCCCUC